GUGCCAGCCGCCGCGGUAAUACAGAGGUCCCAAGCGUUGUUCGGAUUCACUGGGCGUAAAGGGUGCGUAGGUGGUGGGGUAAGUCGGAUGUGAAAGCUCGGAGCUCAACUCCGAAAUGGCAUUGGAAACUACCCUGCUAGAGGAUUGGAGGGGGGACUGGAAUACUUGGUGUAGCAGUGAAAUGCGUAGAUAUCAAGUGGAACACCAGUGGCGAAGGCGAGUCCCUGGACAAUACCUGACACUGAGGCACGAAAGCUAGGGGAGCAAACAGGAUUAGAAACCCGCGUAGUCC
This 292-nucleotide ribosomal RNA is filed under the name uncultured bacterium. RNAcentral describes it as "partial 16S ribosomal RNA". It matches the Rfam family "Bacterial small subunit ribosomal RNA", at positions 505 to 796 of the family's 1533-position model. The record is from RNAcentral.